CGGCGUGCCUAAUACAUGCAAGUCGAGCGCGGGAUUGAGGAGCUUGCUCCUCAAUCCCGAGCGGCGGACGGGUGAGUAACACGUAGGCAACCUACCCAUCAGACCGGGAUAACCGCGGGAAACCGUGGCUAAUACCGGAUGAUCCUUCCGGACACAAGUCGGGAAGUUGAAAGGCGCUUUUGGUGCCGUUGAUGGAUGGGCCUGCGGCGCAUUAGCUGGUUGGUGAGGUAACGGCUCACCAAGGCGACGAUGCGUAGCCGACCUGAGAGGGUGAUCGGCCACACUGGGACUGAGACACGGCCCAGACUCCUACGGGAGGCAGCAGUAGGGAAUCAUCCGCAAUGGACGAAAGUCUGACGGUGCAACGCCGCGUGAGUGAAGAAGGGUUUCGGCUCGUAAAACUCUGUUGUUAAGGAAGAAUGUCGGUGAGAGUAACUGCUCACCGAGUGACGGUACUUAACCAGAAAGCCACGGCUAACUACGUGCCAGCAGCCGCGGUAAUACGUAGGUGGCAAGCGUUAUCCGGAAUUAUUGGGCGUAAAGCGCGCGUAGGCG
RNAcentral lists this ribosomal RNA (555 nucleotides) under uncultured Salinicoccus sp. RNAcentral describes it as "bacterial SSU rRNA". It matches the Rfam family "Bacterial small subunit ribosomal RNA", at positions 40 to 577 of the family's 1533-position model. The record is from RNAcentral. Lineage: Bacteria; Bacillati; Bacillota; Bacilli; Caryophanales; Staphylococcaceae.